CCUUAGUAACGGCGAGUGAAGCGGCAACAGCUCAAAUUUGAAAUCUGGCCCCAGGCCCGAGUUGUAAUUUGCAGAGGAUGCUUUUGGCGCGGUGCCUUCCGAGUUCCCUGGAACGGGACGCCAUAGAGGGUGAGAGCCCCGUCUGGUUGGAUACCAAGCCUUUGUAAAGCUCCUUCGACGAGUCGAGUAGUUUGGGAAUGCUGCUCUAAAUGGGAGGUAUAUGUCUUCUAAAGCUAAAUACCGGCCAGAGACCGAUAGCGCACAAGUAGAGUGAUCGAAAGAUGAAAAGCACUUUGGAAAGAGAGUUAAACAGCACGUGAAAUUGUUAAAAGGGAAGCGUUUAUGACCAGACUUGGGCCGGUUAAUCAUCCAGCGUUCUCGCUGGUGCACUUUGCCGGUCCAGGCCAGCAUCAGUUCGCUGCGGGGGAUAAAGGCGUCGGGAAUGUGGCUCCUCUGGAGUGUUAUAGCCCUUCGCGCAAUACCCUGCGGUGGACUGAGGUUCGCGCAUCUGCAAGGAUGCUGGCGUAAUGGUCAUCAACGACCCGUCUUGA
This 551-nucleotide ribosomal RNA is filed under the name Stachybotrys chartarum. Its description in RNAcentral is "LSU rRNA". It matches the Rfam family "Eukaryotic large subunit ribosomal RNA", at positions 78 to 657 of the family's 3401-position model. Lineage: Eukaryota; Fungi; Ascomycota; Sordariomycetes; Hypocreales; Stachybotryaceae. The record is from RNAcentral.